RNAcentral lists this ribosomal RNA (305 nucleotides) under uncultured bacterium. Its description in RNAcentral is "bacterial SSU rRNA". It matches the Rfam family "Bacterial small subunit ribosomal RNA", at positions 336 to 658 of the family's 1533-position model. The record is from RNAcentral.
CCCCUACGGGGCGCAGCAGUGGGGAGUAUUGCACAAUGGGGGAAACCCUGAUGCAGCGACGCCGCGUGAGCGAAGAAGUAUUUCGGUAUGUAAAGCUCUAUCAGCAGGGAAGAAAAAUGACGGUACCUGAGUAAGAAGCACCGGCUAAAUACGUGCCAGCAGCCGCGGUAAUACGUAUGGUGCAAGCGUUAUCCGGAUCCAUUGGGCGUAAAGCGCGCGCAGGCGGACCGUUAAGCGGGACCUCUAAUCCUGGGGCUCAACCUCAGGCCGGGUCCCGAACUGGCGGUCUCGAGUGCGGUAGGGGG